Molecule: ribosomal RNA, 447 nt
Filed under: Campylobacter gracilis
Lineage: Bacteria; Pseudomonadati; Campylobacterota; Epsilonproteobacteria; Campylobacterales; Campylobacteraceae
Description: bacterial SSU rRNA
Rfam family: Bacterial small subunit ribosomal RNA
Source: RNAcentral
AGUGAACGCGGCGGCGUGCCUAAUACAUGCAAGUCGAACGGAAUUUAAGAGGGCUUGCUCUUUUAAAUUUAGUGGCGCACGGGUGAGUAAUAUAUAGCUAAUCUGCCCCUUGCUGGAGGACAACAGUUAGAAAUGACUGCUAAUACUCCAUACUCCUUUUUACCAUAAGAUAAAUCGGGAAAGAAUUUCGGCAAGGGAUGAGACUAUAUCGUAUCAGCUAGUCGGUGGGGUAACGGCCUACCGAGGCUAUGACGCGUAACUGGUCUGAGAGGAUGAUCAGUCACAUUGGAACUGAGACACGGUCCAAACUCCUACGGGAGGCAGCAGUAGGGAAUAUUGCGCAAUGGGGGAAACCCUGACGCAGCAACGCCGCGUGGAGGAUGACACUUUUCGGAGCGUAAACUCCUUUUGUUAGGGAAGAAUAAUGACGGACCUAACGAAUAAGCC